Non-coding RNA from Callithrix jacchus (white-tufted-ear marmoset), 46 nucleotides. The record is from Rfam. Lineage: Eukaryota; Metazoa; Chordata; Mammalia; Primates; Cebidae.
ACAAUGGUUUUUUUCAAUACCAUAAAAUAUAAAGAAAAAGAUGAUA